This 6981-nucleotide long non-coding RNA is filed under the name Homarus americanus (American lobster). RNAcentral's name for it is "uncharacterized LOC121866091". Lineage: Eukaryota; Metazoa; Arthropoda; Malacostraca; Decapoda; Nephropidae. The record is from RNAcentral.
AUCCCUCCUCUUCACGUCCCCACCCCUUCUCUUCCGUCCUAUCCCUCCUCUCACGUCCCCAUCCCUCCUCUUCACGUCCCCACCCUUCUCUUCACGUCCCUACCCCUUCUCUUCACGUCCCUAUCCCUCCUCUUCACGUCCCCACCCCUCCUCUUCACGUCCUCACCCCUCCUCUUCACGUCCUCCCCAUCCCUCCUCUUCACGUCCCCAUCCAUCCUCUUCACGUCCCCAUCCCUCCUCUUCACGUCCCCAUCCCUCCCCACCACUUCUAUCAGAGGAUUAGUCCCUCCAACCUCCUCCUCCAAGUUCCUUGAGGCAAUAAUAAUCUGAAGCGACUAGCAGAACCACUGGUGUACAGAGGGAGGAGUCCUUCCAUUACCACUAAUGUUAAUCCCAAGCCCAUUAGGCCUCCGGUCCCCUCCUACCCUCUCGCGGCCCAGGUCCUCGUAGUCGCUUCAGUCUCAACAUAUUGACAAUAAUUUCGUUCUUGCUGUUGAAUACGACCCCGUACUGACGGUACCCAGGGAAGUAAGUGAGAUCUUGAGCAUUGUGGAGAAAUGUCUGUUGUUGUUGUUUUUUUUUAUUGAUGAGAAGAGGAUUAUGUUCCCUGAAGUGUUUUCGUCAUAACAACAUCAAGUCGGUGAUGUGUUCUCUCUUUGGUAAACCGUAAAUACAGAACGGCUUUGAGAAGAAUUUUUUGACUAUAAAGAAAUAAAUCUUUUAGAGAGUUCACUGUGCUGCCUCAUGGCUUUUUAAAGUGUGUGCCCUCACGCCGCCCUUCACAGGUACUUUGUGAAACGUUGAAGUACCAAAAGGACCUUCAUAUAAAUAAAGUGAACUGACAGUGGACAGAGGAAGGUAAAGAAACACUCACACUGAACUAAACUGCCGAGCUAUCAAGUGCAACAAUGGCCGGUAGAUGUCGUCGCCAUUCGCCUCGUCAGUACCUCAGCAGCGCGAGAACCAAUCACUGCAGCUCGUGGUAACUUGACUAAUCUUCUCGUGACUUCAUGCAAGCGAAGCUACUUUUUGAAGUUGAAUUUUAAUGAGACCGUAGUGGCUGAGGAAGUCCAUGACGUGAACUUCUGACGACCUGUACUGUCACGGAUGGUUCCCCGGGAGCUCAGAGACAUACAGAGGGGACAGUGCUACGGUUGCCUGAGGAUAAAGCUCUUACACGUACAACAGAAGAGACUGGAUGUAUCAUGCAGCGCCCGGAGUUUGUUGUUGAGGCGCCACGACAUAUAAACAAGUCGUGACGUAAAUUACAGAAGUUGAUCAGCAGAUGGAGUCAGACCUCAGGUGCGUUAAGUCUUCAGUGGUCGAGCCUGGCUAGUAGUGGGGGGCUUCACCAACGGUUGGGUCUCACCUGAGGUUGGGUCUCAUUAGAGGUUGGGUCUCACCACCUGCCAGGCUUAGGGAGUGAAAUCAUCUCCUCACUGUUGCUGGAGAUGGACUCUCAGCUCUGGUCUUACUGACUGUUAGCUUCACCACUUGUCAAGGUCUACUUGUCAUCACUGGUUGUGCUUCACCAGUAAUGACAGCUGAACAUCUCAAGUGGUUGAGUUCCAGCAGUAAACAGAUAAGGUCUAUAACACGGCUGGACAGGAAAUUAUCUUGUACAGUCAGUUGUCAGUUUGGCCUCAGCAGUGAUCAGUGGUCGACGUUUAUCAGUGGUGUUGAGGUUCCUGUCAGUUGUCACGGUCAAUAAGUAAGGACAAUAGUCAGACCUCAGCAGGGUCGAGUGACAGUCAGGCUUUGAUGGUCAGACCAUCCUUGGUGAUCAUCAUCAUCAUCAUCAUUAUCAUCAUUAUCAUCAUCCUGAUUCUUGAGGAAUCAGCCGUGAGAUUUUCUAAUUCUACUACUAUCUGAGUAGCUUUUCAAAACUUGUACUUUUGCAUCAACAACUCGUGAUGCGGUUUUCGAAUAGCCGGUGAGAGAACCACGUUGACGAGGCUUUCCUUCAAUGGCUAAUGAGUUGGAAAUCCAGUCCAGAAAUAUCGGUUCUUUUGUUGUGUAACUUCCAGCUGGUAUGGAAUUAACUAAAGUUUUUAAUACAUUGUAAAUAAAGCUAUUGUACCUCUCGCAUGCACUUUUUUGAAACGUGUGUAAAUUAAUGACAAUAUUUGCAUAAUCUAUUACAUCCCAUUGGCAAUAAUAGCCUAAUCAGUGUUAGUCAGGUAACGUGGUCACAAGAUCAACAUACUGUACACUUACUCUAAAUACCCUUUGCUAAACAGACUUGUUCUGCCUUGAAACUCUCUUUGUGAGUUGUCUUCUCUGUAUGGCAGGAAAUUUUAAAUUGAAAUAUAUUUUGUAGAGCACAGGAAGAGCAAGUGAUGCGUACUCACUGUACAGCUCGUGGCUGUUGAGAAAGGUGCCUUUGAACCUGCUGUUGAUGCAGCAUCAAAACAUUGUUGGUUCACUCUUACGGAGAACCUGUCAAGAGUCAAUUUUUAUACAAGUACUCGGCAUCAGAACGCUGUGGACUGUGCUGACGGGUUCAGUUUAUUGUGUCAUACCACAUACUGGAGCCGAGAACUUUGGGGCUCCGUUUGUCUUGUGGAACAACUGUACUUAAUGCUCACAAGGAUCAAGUCUGGUUAGUACAUGACGUAUGUAGAGUUAGUGUAUCACAUGCAUAAUUACGUGCAUUGUUUUAUGAGAUUAACAGUCGCAUAACUUAGUGGUUUAAACUGCAUUCAGAGAGUGAGAGCUUUAACUGAAGAAUGGAGACUAGUGAAAGUUCAAGGCAGGUUUGUUUACAUAUUUAUUUUUGCUACUGACAGCACAUCAUACAUGAUCAAUCCUGUUGUGUACUUGUCAUAAGGAAAGCCUUUGGGACCGAGAACAUACAGAAGACGAUACAUUCGCAAUAUACACCUGUAUCACACUGGGUUUCAGGUAUUAAGAAACAGGUGCUUUGAGGAGUCAUAUUUUGUAUCACUCGUUUCGUAACUUGGAAUGGGUAUAUGACACGCGGACACUCUACCAAGAUCACUUUGUAGACUGGAGGAAAACGCCAGCAUCAUGGACGCUGUCAGGACAACGGUGAUGAACUGUAGAUAUUAGUCUAACCUCACACAACCCAUGUCGCUUGUUGACCACAGUUUACGGGUGAUGGCAGCAGUGUAAGUCUCGGAAUAUUAUACAAUUUGCUGAAGAAAUUUAUUUGUUUCCAGUUCAUCUCAUUUCAAUAUUCAAGGAAGAAUUUCAUCUUUUAUUCCAUCAUUGUUAUUUUAUUCUUUAUAAAUCACUGGUGAUAUGGUGUUGGAUAUUCUUAGAGUUACAAGUCCUCAUCAUCUAAGAUAUUUGAUAUGUAUUACCCCCUUUUCCCUCUACAUGUGGUUUCUGUAGAAUAAAAGGGAAAUUAUUUAGAGAAUGAGGCACAAACAUUCAUAAAUGCCAUUUGUUUCUGUCAAGUGUUGAAACAGCACAGCCGUAGUGAAUCACCUUUUACACAAAGGACAUUAUUUAUCUUUAAUAUCACCAAGACGAUAUUUUCUUUUAACGGAAAAAAUCCUCAGUGACACUCUGUUACCAGGUUUGUUUUUAGUGAGCGAAAAAUAACAAUAAAUUCACUCCUUCACAGCUUCAGCUAUCAAUCUGUACAUAACCCGCAUCACGCCCUAGCUGACUGCCCCUGGAGCCACACAUCGUUCACUACCAGUCAGUCAGAUAAUGUUUCCUACUAACAGCUUCAGCACAUACACGUCUGCUCAACAUUUAGUGUAGGAAGCACGACUAUACAUUACCACACUCACGUCAAAUUUAACCCACUCUCCCGUUUUCUAUAAAGCUAGCGACAGUAUGUAAUUUCUCUCUCAUGUUUCCUAUAAUAAUGGCCACAGGAGAUUGUUUCCUCUCCUGUACUGUAUAUGAUUGAUUUUGUACAUUAAGUUCCACUUUUGUCAUUUCCAGUACCUUGGUGUGCGGUAAAUUAGCACAUCCCAUUUUAUGUCCGUCUAGUUAAUAAUAACUUCCUUCAGUACAAGUUUAUCCUAGAAAUAUCCCAGCCACUCCUCUUUACACCCUUAUCUCUCUCAGUUAAUUCCAUAUCUCAGGUUAUCAUAUUUUUGCCCUCUUCUUUCUUCUCAUUUAUCAACCUUCUCUAUCUUAAUGGAUAUAGCUCCUUAUCUCUUAUCAUUCCAUUAGUAACGUCAUUUACAACUGUAGAAAUAUACCAUUGUUUACAUAGCCCCCUUACCUGCCUGUACCUCACCUCUACACCACAAUAUAUAUUCAAACUCUUUAAUUUCUGUAACAUAUAUGACUCUAAUUGUUCUUUAUAGCUCUAUUAAGUAUAGCUGACUGAGUUUAUAUAGCUCCGAUAGUGAUAUGUAUUUCCAGUAUAUAAAAAGUACUUUUUACUUUCCUAUUCAAUUAGUUAUGUUUGAAAUUCAUAUAUAAUCUAGUAUAUACUGUAUGUCUUAAUAUGUACACUAUAUCUGUUUAUGUGUGGUAUUGUUGUAGUUCUGAUUUGUAUUAUGUUACUAAUUAUAUAAUAUAGUGUAUUAUAAUUACUACUAUGAGUCAGGGACGAAUAAAGACAGCCAUUUAGUAUCAUAAUUACCUCCAUUAGUCAUAAAACUCCACCUAUCAUCAGGUACAGUACAACAAUAGGUUAAUUAAAACACACACACACACGUUAUCAUCCUGUUCUCUUCCUUGUAUGUAAUUAUCAUGCUUACAAUAAACGCAAUCAUUAGAAUAAACUCCGAGAGCUUGAGUACAACGAAAAGUUAUACUACAGUAUUAUGAGUAAAUUAACGUAAUGCAGAAACAGAAAACUAUGGUGACGAUGUAUAUUUAGUCUUAUAAGUUAUGGUAAUAAUACUCACGAGGUACAAGGACUUAUAAUAAAGUCCUGGAUCUGAGAAAAGGGUGAAGUUGUAUAAUGUAAUUCAUAUAAUAAUAAUGUACCAAGGGGAAGCAGAAAACUUUAAAAAUCUUGUAUUUUUUCAUUAAUAAAAAAAAACGAAAUGAAGUGAAAUUGUUUAAAAUGUUUGAAAAAUUAGUGGUAAAGAAAAUUCCUAACAUGUAAAAAUAUAUACUGUAAAGGCGAUUAUAAUACUGUAUAUAAAAAUCCCGAAAUUAAUCUAUUAUUUAGUUUAAAUAGGCAUACAAAAUCAGAACAAUUAAAUUAUUGUUAAAAAAUUAAUAAGUAACAGCAUGUGACACGACCAAAGGGUAGUUGCAGCAAGUAAACAAUAAUUUUACCGAGUGUUGUGUUGUCAUUCUUCACCAAAACAUUACGAAGUGUGAUCGGUAAGGCGAGAGAUCCAGUGCCUCAGUAUUCUUAUAAGUGAACGGACGCGCUUGUCUGAGAGACUGCCCCACUCUCCCACCCCCACCCGGCCAGCGUCUGAGUACGUGAGGGUCAGGAUUGAGUCCACGUAAAACAGAUAAAUUAUUAACUACAACGGAUCUCAGUUAAAAAAGGUAAGACUACAGUGCGUUAUAGAAAAUAAUUAACAGUGAAUAUGCCUCUGUUUAUCUGGAUUUCAUUCGUAAGAGGAGACUGAGUUUUUCUUUGGCGUUUGUAAAUGGUUUCCAACGGUGAAAAUCCGACUAAGGUGAAUUAAACGUGUUGUUUUAUCGGUGCAAGCCAAGAAUGCUCACAGCUUUCAUUAUUUAUUUACAAUAUUUACCGUUUGGAGAAUUUCCUCGCAUCAUAAAAAAAUCGUAACUUGUCCAACGUAUAUUAUAUAAGGUACUUAAGUAAAUAUUGUAUAGUACACACCUCUCUGCAUUCCGUCUUCAAGUGCCGGGGAUAUUAGGUUCGAAUGCCAGGUCCUCAGCAGUCGCCCGUUUGUAUUCACCUUUCUCGUUUGUUUUUCGUUUGUCAGUUUGUCAGGGCAAUAUUUCCGGCCAAGUGCUGAAGUAAACAGAUGAAUUUUGUAUUUUUAUUUUUAAUUUUUUUAGUUAAUGACUCAACUGUGUCAUGAUGGGGUGAGAAGGGCCGUUGUACAGUAGAGUUACCGCUGCGUGUUUUAUGUCGAAAUCAAAAGAGCAUCAAUUAUAUUCUAGUCUUAAAUUAUAUCAUAAGUUUAUCAGGAUAGUCCUAGGUGAAAUUUCACAUCGAUUACCUUAAAAUAUGUUUGGUAUAAUCUGAUGUUAAUGAAGUGAUUUAGAUUUUGUCAAAUUCAUAAUGUGUGUUGCCUAUGCUAUAUUGGAUUAAUGAAAAUUUUUAAGUUGGAGAUAAUGAAGUUACACAUUUAACAAUAUAAAUCUAUGGGUUCUCAGUGUGGGAUAGCAUUGUUUUGACUCGGUACAGUACUCAGUGUGUAAGUGUGAGCAUGAUAAACGACAUUACCAUUACAGUCAAUUAAACGUGAAUCUGUUUGUUGCUGUAUAAUUGUUUGACACCAAAUGGUUUAUGUUUGAUAAGAUUAAAACAACACAAAAUAUAAACAUCAUUAAAACAGCGCCCAAAGAUUAAUAUAAUUUACCUUUAUAGCAGGAGCUUCCGGGGCUUAUAUAUUAGUUUACCAUAAAUACAAAGUUACUACAUUCAUACACUGUUCCAUUAUUUCUGGUGUAUGAUAAAAGAGGUAUAUUUAUACAAUGGUUCUAACUGUAUGUUACACUUUACCAUACAUCACUGUCCUUGUUAUUACAUACCGAAUAAUACACUGUUAUUAAAUUCGACGCCAAAAAUGUAUUUCUUUCUAUGUAAACUGACGAGGUAAUAUCACACUCAUAAUUCCACUGUUGUUGAUAUUCUUGUUGUAAUUCCUUGUUAUAAUUGACUAUAUUGUGUUUGUACUUAAGAGGAGUGGCUAUAUCUUUUCAAUAACAGUACUAUAUUAGUUAGUUUCUUAUAGGAGUAAAUAUAGAUCCUGUUACUUAGUCAAGAAGUAAUGUUUAAAGAAUUAUGUAAUACGUAGCUUCCCUCCCUCUAUCCCUCCCUCUAUCCCUCCGCUUGUCAGCUAAUUUUGUUAUCAUAUAUUUAUGUACACCUAAAAGUAACUUACUGAA